AGCCCAACGAGAUCGGGAUAACACCUGGAAACAGAUGCUAAUACCGGAUAACAACAGAUGAUGCCUAUCAACUGUUUAAAAGAUGGUUCUGCUAUCACUCUUGGAUGGACCUGCGGUGCAUUAGCUAGUUGGUAGGGUAACGGCCUACCAAGGCGAUGAUGCAUAGCCGAGUUGAGAGACUGAUCGGCCACAUUGGGACUGAGACACGGCCCAAACUCCUACGGGAGGCAGCAGAC
RNAcentral lists this ribosomal RNA (236 nucleotides) under uncultured Lactobacillus sp. Its description in RNAcentral is "partial 16S ribosomal RNA". It matches the Rfam family "Bacterial small subunit ribosomal RNA", at positions 127 to 354 of the family's 1533-position model. The record is from RNAcentral. Lineage: Bacteria; Bacillati; Bacillota; Bacilli; Lactobacillales; Lactobacillaceae.